This 481-nucleotide ribosomal RNA is filed under the name uncultured bacterium. Its description in RNAcentral is "bacterial SSU rRNA". It matches the Rfam family "Bacterial small subunit ribosomal RNA", at positions 198 to 688 of the family's 1533-position model. The record is from RNAcentral.
GGUCUAAAGGCGCAAGUCGCCUGGGGAGGAGCCUGCGUACGAUCUAGCUAGUUGGUGGGGUAAAGGCCUACCAAGGCGACGAUCGUUAGCUGGUCUGAGAGGAUGAUCAGCCACAUUGGGACUGAGACACGGUCCAAACUCCAUACGGGAGGCAGCAGUGGGGAAUAUUGGACAAUGGGCGAAAGCCUGAUCCAGCAAUGCCGCGUGUGUGAUGAAGGCCCUAGGGUUGUAAAGCUCUUUUGUGCGGGAACGAUAAUGACCGGUACCGCAAGAAUAAGGAUCGGUAACUCCGUGCCAGCAGCCGCGGUAAUACGGAGGGAUCCAAGCGUUAUCCGGAUUUAUGGGGUUUAAAGGGUGCGUAGGCGGCCUAUUAAGUCAGGGGUGAAAGACGGUAGCUUAACUAUCGCAGUGCCUUUGAUACUGGAUGGGCUUGAAUACACUAGAGGUAGGGCGGAAUGUGACCAAGUAGCGGUGACAAUUG